UGAAAGUCCAGAUUCUCCCAUCACCAGCCUCUCUCAUAGGCAGAGGUGGCCAUGUGACCCAGUUUCGGCUAACGAGAUGUAAGGUGGACUCUACUCAGGGUCUUCCAGGAAAGAUAUUUUCCUUUCUAAUUGUGGUGAAGACUGCCAGCUGCUGUAACCUUCUGGAACUAUGAAGUCACCUUGAGAAAGGAAGCUGUGACUAGUAGAAUGACAAGAGAGAUGGAGGCUUGUUUUCUGAAGGGAUCACAGA
This 250-nucleotide long non-coding RNA is filed under the name Homo sapiens (human). RNAcentral describes it as "HSALNT0302429". Lineage: Eukaryota; Metazoa; Chordata; Mammalia; Primates; Hominidae. The record is from RNAcentral.